Molecule: ribosomal RNA, 253 nt
Filed under: uncultured bacterium
Lineage: Bacteria
Description: partial 16S ribosomal RNA
Rfam family: Bacterial small subunit ribosomal RNA
Source: RNAcentral
UACGUAGGGGGCUAGCGUUGUCCGGAUUUAUUGGGCGUAAAGAGCGUGUAGGCGGUCCGGUAAGUCCGCUGUGAAAUCCCUCGGCCCAACCGAGGAACUGCCUUUGAAACUGCAAGGCUCGAGGCCGGGAGAGGGUGGUGGAAUUCCCAGUGUAGCGGUGAAAUGCGUAGAUAUUGGGAGGAACACCAGUGGCGAAGGCGGCUUUCUGGGCCUUACCUGACGCUGAGACGCGAAAGCGUGGGGAGCGAACCGG